RNAcentral lists this ribosomal RNA (484 nucleotides) under uncultured bacterium. RNAcentral's name for it is "partial 16S ribosomal RNA". It matches the Rfam family "Bacterial small subunit ribosomal RNA", at positions 30 to 507 of the family's 1533-position model. The record is from RNAcentral.
AUUGAACGCUGGCGGCAUGCCUAACACAUGCAAGUCGAGCGGAUGAAGGGAGCUUGCUCCUGGAUUCAGCGGCGGACGGGUGAGUAAUGCCUAGGAAUCUGCCUUGUAGUGGGGGAUAACGUCCUGAAACGGGCGCUAAUACCGCAUACGUCCUGAGGUAGAAAGUGGGGGAUCUUCGGACCUCACGCUAUCAGAUGAGCCUAGGUCGGAUUAGCUAGUUGGUGGGGUAAAGGCCUACCAAGGCGACGAUCCGUAACUGGUCUGAGAGGAUGAUCAGUCACACUGGAACUGAGACACGGUCCAGACUCCUACGGGAGGAAGCAGUGGGGAAUAUUGGACAAUGGGCGAAAGCCUGAUCCAGCCAUGCCGCGUGAGUGAUGAAGGUCUUAGGCUUGUAAAGCACUUUAAGUUGGGAGGAAGGGCAGUAAGUUAAUCCCUUGCUGUAUUGACGUUACCAACAGAAUAAGCACCGGCUAACUUCGUG